UCCCCAAGAAAAGUGUACAAAGGUCUACAGCUUUCUGUUUUUCUCCCUCACAAAUUUAACAGUAGCAGUUCCACUGCUUCCUGGAGAUGACCCUGACCGUGUCCAGGAACGAAGAAAGAGGACCUAAGAGUGACAGAACACAACCCACCACAAGAUCUAGAGUCAUCACAGAACUACUGAAAUGACUGGGCAGGGGCAGCGUUAACUAUAGGAUGAUACAAACAGAACAAGUGGACAGAGCAACUGGGGACCACUUCUCUACCGUGGAAGAUGUGCCAGAUUUUUUUCCAAGACUGGGGCUUGGGCUGACUGCUCUGUACUUCCACAUCCUCUUUAUAAGUGUGGAUGCUGUGUUUGAUGGUAUGCAGUCUUCUGAAAUCCCUAAUGUUUCCCACUGUGAAGAAACCAGGAGCAGAAAACACGUCUUCUGACUCUGGGUGUGCAACUCAAAAUUGUUGUGAUAUUGCGCAACAAAUUCAAUGCUGAAGUGGCACCUCCAAGCAUCACCUGCUCUCAAGCAAGCACAGCUCAGCCUGGAGAGCACCAUCAACUGUUCCUCGCACUGCAAAUUCAUUUGAAAAGGCAAACGUGACGGAUUCUUCCCUUUGAAGAGGAGGCAGCUCUGUGCCCGAACUCCUGGGCCACAGGAACCCUGAUCUUCUACCUGCACCUUCCUCCAGCCCAGGGAAGGCAGGUAAAGUGUGGAGAAGGAGCUGUGGCCUUUUCAGUAGCUGGACCAGCAUGUGCCCUGUUGCUCACCACCAUCCCAGUAGGAAGGCCUUUAAGUUUCCCCUUUCCUUCUUUAUUUCUUAUCAAAGAGAUUCGGCGACUUCCCACUCAGAGCAUCAGCUCUGACAAAUUCAAUUCAUAAAUCCUAUCCAUGCACUAUUCGGAGACCUUCAGCCCCUAAUUCAUGGCUGUGGGGUUUCUCUCCCGGAGCCAGGCAGGUGCUAGUAUGACUAGCAAUGCAACCAAUAAAUUCCUUUUAAACACAGUGAAAACCUUAAGG
Molecule: long non-coding RNA, 1009 nt
Filed under: Apteryx owenii (little spotted kiwi)
Lineage: Eukaryota; Metazoa; Chordata; Aves; Apterygiformes; Apterygidae
Description: lncRNA (ENSAOWG00000014662.1)
Source: RNAcentral